Molecule: ribosomal RNA, 491 nt
Filed under: uncultured bacterium
Lineage: Bacteria
Description: partial 16S ribosomal RNA
Rfam family: Bacterial small subunit ribosomal RNA
Source: RNAcentral
GUGAACGCUGGCGGAAGGCCUAACACAUGCAAGUCGAACGGCAGCACAGUAAGAGCUUGCUCUUACGGGUGGCGAGUGGCGGACGGGUGAGGAAUACAUCGGAAUCUACUUUUUCGUGGGGGAUAACGUAGGGAAACUUACGCUAAUACCGCAUACGACCUACGGGUGAAAGCAGGGGAUCUUCGGACCUUGCGCGAUUGAAUGAGCCGAUGUCGGAUUAGCUAGUUGGCGGGGUAAAGGCCCACCAAGGCGACGAUCCGUAGCUGGUCUGAGAGGAUGAUCCGCCACACUGGAACUGAGACACGGUCCAGACUCCUACGGGAGGCAGCAGUGGGGAAUAUUGGACAAUGGGCGCAAGCCUGAUCCAGCCAUACCGCGUGGGUGAAGAAGGCCUUCGGGUUGUAAAGCCCUUUUGUUGGGAAAGAAAAGCAGCAGGUUAAUACCCCGCUGUUCUGACGGUACCCAAAGAAUAAGCACCGGCUAACUUCGUG